GACCUCGCCCAAACUCCUACGGGUACCGAACCUCACUACCGACUCUAACCGAACUUCAGCCGACGGAUCUGCACUCCCUGGCAGGCCACGAUAACGGCCACGAUCCUGCUCCACUUCCUGCGAUGGAUUUCGCGCAGCUCCAUCACUCCCUGACAGGCCGUAGUAACGGUCACAACACUGCUCCACUUCCUACGACGGAUCUCGCGCAGCUCCACUACUCCCUGGCAGGCCACAAUAACGACCACGAUCCUGCUCCAC
Molecule: long non-coding RNA, 258 nt
Filed under: Elaeis guineensis (African oil palm)
Lineage: Eukaryota; Viridiplantae; Streptophyta; Magnoliopsida; Arecales; Arecaceae
Description: long non-coding RNA (EGUI_LNC080989)
Source: RNAcentral